Molecule: long non-coding RNA, 567 nt
Filed under: Fukomys damarensis (Damara mole-rat)
Lineage: Eukaryota; Metazoa; Chordata; Mammalia; Rodentia; Bathyergidae
Description: lncRNA (ENSFDAG00000032263.1)
Source: RNAcentral
GGACGCAGGUGCCCAGCAGGCAGGGGGCGCUUCUCCCAGGGAGAGCUCAGAGGCCAGGAGCCACAGGGUCUGGGGACAAAGGUCCCUCCACGCUUGGAGCCAGGGCACAGCCUGGAGCACCAGCGAACUGUCCGGGGUCCUUUGUCCUGCCGGGGAGGGCAGGAGACAGGACAUCGGAGUCUGACGGGGUCUCAGCUGUCGCCGGGCCACCCAUCUUGCUGUGGGACGGAGACCCAGGAGGGUCCCGAGGGAGAGGACAGGGCAGCUGCAGGAGGGAUGGACCUCUCCGAGCUUGUCACCUGGACACCUGUGUGACCCACCCGGGCCGCCGGUCAGCGACAGCCAGCGUUUGCAGCGUUUUGCGCAGGGGAGGAGCGCGCUUGGGUCCCCUCACCGGCCUCCCUGCUGGCCCGAUAGAGUAGCCAGGUGGGGUCACCUGUCCAUCGGGGAGGAGGGGAGAGGCCUGGGGUCAGGCAUCUGGACUCCCGCGGGGGGCAGGGCCUUCUCUCCUCGGGCCCUCCCCACCCCCAUCAGCCUCUGCCGCGCCCCCAGCACCCGGGAAAACAG